RNAcentral lists this unclassified non-coding RNA (1307 nucleotides) under Bombus terrestris (buff-tailed bumblebee). RNAcentral describes it as "misc RNA ENSBTSG00005037529.1". The record is from RNAcentral. Lineage: Eukaryota; Metazoa; Arthropoda; Insecta; Hymenoptera; Apidae.
GCAAAGUUGGAAAUCCGAGCGCGUAAUUAACACGCUCGCGACGAGUUUCUAAGCCGAGUGUCGCUGUCUUUUUCUUCGUCUUCGUCAUUGUCGUCAUCGUCGUCGUGAAGAGGCGGCGCUCUUUCGGCCAGCGUGCUCUGCUUCACCCUCUGCACGGCUACGAGGGCCUCUUUCCUUGGGCAACUUCAAAACGAAGAAAAUUGGCUCGAGAUAAAUGGCACUUUGUGUUCAAGCGAAAUAACGAACUUUGUCGAGCUUCGCUUCUUACUCCGCGUGAAUUUCACAUCAGAAGGUCCGAGCGAUUCAUGAAGCGCAGUGAACGCGGCCGACGUGCGGUGGAGAGUUGAAGACGAGCGGAAGAGGGCCACCGAUGUACUCGAACGUAAACACGACUCCCUUACGGGCCUCUGGAGAUCGGAAUCGUUGCUGCUCUCGGCAAUAUUAAUCGGGACCGGAAAUACAGCAGUUUACUGCUUCACCGGCCACCGUCUCUUCACCACCGCCACUGAAGCGAAUCUACAUAAUUGAUUAUACGCGUCUCCCCUGCCACUGGUUAUGAUUUGAUUGGCGGCCGCAACUAUAGGGUUCGACUGCGUCCUCCCUUAUUAUUAUUGUUAUCCGCUGCACGUGUAAUCGAAUCAAACGUUUUUUGCGAACGAUACGUACGAUUUUAAUAAUUUCGUCCAUUACAUUUUGUCGCGUAUUGAUUUAUAAAUUAUGACCACAGUCUUCAAACUUUUAUUAUAUCUUCGAUACUUAUGUACUUGUGUAUAUGCAUACUAUCUAUGUACUAUAACCAAACGCUUGUGUGCCAAAUUCUCCGAUACAUUUUCAAGGACGGUAAGUCACGUAGAAAACUAACAAUAAGGCGAAUAUGCCAGGUAGAGAAGAGAAGAGGGCAACUGUUUUGAAUGCGUUCAUUAAGCCACGGGGAAGAACGUUACACCGGACGAUUAACUUAUUAACCUGUCUUCAUAAUAUCUGCAUAACGAUGCGACUUCAUUAGGCGUCGUACACCACUCCCGUGCCUGGCUUUGCAUGUGUGCGUGCACGCCUGUUGCUUGCACGCGCGUGUUGCACGCCUCAACGUUCAUUGGACAGUCUCACACGCGCUCGACAUUCCUACACACGUGUACAGGGCUCGUGUGUAUUGAGGAGUCAGUGUGAAAAGAAGGACAGAAAAGGAGAGCAGCGAGAGCGAAAAAGAGGCAGCAAACGGAGAAAAUUAAAUAAGAGGGAGAAGGAGAGAGCGAAACAAACUGGCAGAUCGAAAAAGGUAAUGUAUAAAUACGAGACCACCCACCGCG